Molecule: non-coding RNA, 362 nt
Organism: Nitrosomonas sp. Is79A3
Lineage: Bacteria; Pseudomonadati; Pseudomonadota; Betaproteobacteria; Nitrosomonadales; Nitrosomonadaceae
Source: Rfam
GGGGACGAUCUGGUUUCGACGUGGGUUGCAAAGCAGCGCAGGGCAUACCGAGGAUCAGUCUACCUCGUAAAUCCAUCUGAAAAAAAAUAGUCGCAAACGACGAAAACUACGCUUUAGCCGCUUAAUACGGCUAGCCUCUGCACCGGUGGGCCUCAACGCCGGGUCUGGCAACAGACAGCAGAGUCACUAACGAGGAUCGUGUUCUGCAGGGUCACUUUGCAGAACACUAAACGCAAGGUGACUCGCUUGUCAUUAGCCCGCCAGUUGGCGAAUGCCAGGUUAAAUUAAAUAACAUGGCUAAGUAUGUAGAACUGUCUGUAGAGGGCUUGCGGACGCGGGUUCGAUUCCCGCCGUCUCCACCA